RNAcentral lists this ribosomal RNA (429 nucleotides) under Gemmatimonadota bacterium. Its description in RNAcentral is "Gemmatimonadetes bacterium partial 16S ribosomal RNA". It matches the Rfam family "Bacterial small subunit ribosomal RNA", at positions 355 to 776 of the family's 1533-position model. The record is from RNAcentral. Lineage: Bacteria; Pseudomonadati; Gemmatimonadota.
UAGGGAAUCUUCGGCAAUGGACGAAAGUCUGACCGAGCAACGCCGCGUGAGUGAAGAAGGUUUUCGGAUCGUAAAACUCUGUUGUUAGAGAAGAACAAGGACGUUAGUAACUGAACGUCCCCUGACGGUAUCUAACCAGAAAGCCACGGCUAACUACGUGCCAGCAGCCGCGGUAAUACGUAGGUGGCAAGCGUUGUCCGGAUUUAUUGGGCGUAAAGCGAGCGCAGGCGGUUUCUUAAAUCUGAUGUGAAAGCCCCCGGCUCAACCGGGGAGGGUCAUUGGAAACUGGGAGACUUGAGUGCAGAAGAGGAGAGUGGAAUUCCAUGUGUAGCGGUGAAAUGCGUAGAUAUAUGGAGGAACACCAGUGGCGAAGGCGGCUCUCUGGUCUGUAACUGACGCUGAGGCUCGAAAGCGUGGGGAGCAAACAGG